RNAcentral lists this transfer RNA (76 nucleotides) under Patescibacteria group bacterium. RNAcentral describes it as "tRNA-Ile". It matches the Rfam family "tRNA". Rfam says of the family: Transfer RNA (tRNA) molecules are approximately 80 nucleotides in length. Their secondary structure includes four short double-helical elements and three loops (D, anti-codon, and T loops). The record is from RNAcentral.
GCGCGCGUAGCUCAAUGGUUAGAGCAUCUGUCUUAUACACAGAGGGUUGAAGGUUCGAGUCCUUCCGCGCGCACCA